This is a long non-coding RNA of Mauremys reevesii (Reeves's turtle), 620 nucleotides long. RefSeq lists it as uncharacterized. The record is from RefSeq and is a predicted model, not a curated record. Lineage: Eukaryota; Metazoa; Chordata; Testudines; Geoemydidae. The transcript is spliced from 2 exons.
UAACCUCUAUUUAUUGGGGCAGGGGGGUAGAAGGACACUUUCUCUGCAGGCACGUUGCCCCAUAGCUGUCUACUAGAGAGUUUCUUCCUCUGGAGGAGCUGGUAUUGGACACUGUCAAAGAUGGGAUACUGGAUUAGAUGGACUACCAGUCUGAGACAAUCCAGCAAUCCCUAUAUUAAACUGCAGCGCAACACAUCUGAGCUGCUGAGUGGAGCAUCUGUCCAAGGUCACAAUACCCCUCAGAAAACUCCUGGCAGUUGUUUGAGUGUGGUGAUCCUUUUCCAAGACUGCAAAAACUGACCACGGCUCCACAAAGCAAGAAUCCCACUGCAGUUCCACAAACCAAUGAGAUGUACUAUACAUCAGGCUCUUUAUGAUCAGAUACAAGUCAGUCUGUAUGUUUGACUUGAUCUGUGGUAUCUCACACAACAAAGGGCGCUUGGCAUCUUUCAGCGGAUGAAAGUAGAGAAGAAAUAUUGAGCCCCCAUUGCAAAUAGAUGUCCUGAUCCCUCUUAAUCUCUGGAGUGCCAGACACAGCUAAUUGGCACAGAUCCCACAGACGCUGUUUCCAGUCAAAUAGAAAAUGUGUCUAAUAAAUAGCAAAUUCUCCUUCACACAAA